This is a long non-coding RNA of Suricata suricatta (meerkat), 466 nucleotides long. RefSeq lists it as uncharacterized. NCBI's taxonomy places the organism in Eukaryota, Metazoa, Chordata, Mammalia, Carnivora, Herpestidae. The record is from RefSeq and is a predicted model, not a curated record. The transcript is spliced from 2 exons.
GGGAGGGUGCGGUUCGGGCGCCGGUUUUCUGGGCUGCGGGCAGGCGGGCCGGCGGCGGCGGUGGCACCCCGCGGCGCCCAGACGCGGAAUCGCGCUGUGCCGGGUGGAAGAUGAGGCACAGCGCAGAGCGGGUGGGCAGGACCGGGGUCGUGCUGGGCUGGGGGCGCGGCGCCAGGAAAGAGGGGCUGGUGUUUCGGGGACGGGAGGUGAAGGCCGCCCAGGAAGAAACGGCCGCGAGCGUCUGGUGAGAGCUGGAGAUCGGAAGAGCAGGGUAUGUUGCAAUAUGUACAGAGAGGAUUGUCACAGAAGAGAAGGAAGGAUGGACAACAUGUAGAAAGCUGUACCUAUAGUGCACACAUCGGCUCUGGAUGGAGUAGAAGAGCACAAGUUUUCGUUUGCCCACCUUGGGGAGGUUAGCAGUCCCUUUGUGGUGGUGUGUGAAAUAACCAAAUGAUAGUGUGGAGAA